CCCAAGAGAUCGGGAUAACACCUGGAAACAGAUGCUAAUACCGGAUAAUAACAGAUGAUGCCUAUCAACUGUUUAAAAGAUGGUUCUGCUAUCACUCUUGGAUGGACCUGCGGUGCAUUAGCUAGUUGGUAGGGUAACGGCCUACCAAGGCGAUGAUGCAUAGCCGAGUUGAGAGACUGAUCGGCCACAUUGGGACUGAGACACGGCCCAAACUCCUACGGGAGGCAGCAGGC
RNAcentral lists this ribosomal RNA (233 nucleotides) under uncultured Lactobacillus sp. RNAcentral describes it as "partial 16S ribosomal RNA". It matches the Rfam family "Bacterial small subunit ribosomal RNA", at positions 129 to 354 of the family's 1533-position model. The record is from RNAcentral. Lineage: Bacteria; Bacillati; Bacillota; Bacilli; Lactobacillales; Lactobacillaceae.